RNAcentral lists this ribosomal RNA (429 nucleotides) under Gemmatimonadota bacterium. Its description in RNAcentral is "Gemmatimonadetes bacterium partial 16S ribosomal RNA". It matches the Rfam family "Bacterial small subunit ribosomal RNA", at positions 355 to 776 of the family's 1533-position model. Lineage: Bacteria; Pseudomonadati; Gemmatimonadota. The record is from RNAcentral.
UAGGGAAUCUUCGGCAAUGGACGAAAGUCUGACCGAGCAACGCCGCGUGAGUGAAGAAGGUUUUCGGAUCGUAAAACUCUGUUGUUAGAGAAGAACAAGGACGUUAGUAACUGAACGUCCCCUGACGGUAUCUAACCAGAAAGCCACGGCUAACUACGUGCCAGCAGCCGCGGUAAUACGUAGGUGGCAAGCGUUGUCCGGAUUUAUUGGGCGUAAAGCGAGCGCAGGCGGUUUCUUAAGUCUGAUGUGAAAGCCCCCGGCUCAACCGGGGAGGGUCAUUGGAAACUGGGAGACUUGAGUGCAGAAGAGGAGAGUGGAAUUCCAUGUGUAACGGUGAAAUGCGUAGAUAUAUGGAGGAACACCAGUGGCGAAGGCGGCUCUCUGGUAUGUAACUGACGCUGAGGCUCGAAAGCGUGGGGAGCAAACAGG